UGGGGAAUAUUGGACAAUGGGCGAAAGCCUGAUCCAGCCAUGCCGCGUGUGUGAAGAAGGUCUUCGGAUUGUAAAGCACUUUAAGUUGGGAGGAAGGGCAGUAAGCGAAUACCUUGCUGUUUUGACGUUACCGACAGAAUAAGCACCGGCUAACUCUGUGCCUGCAGCCGCGGUAAUACAGAGGGUGCAAGCGUUAAUCGGAAUUACUGGGCGUAAAGCGCGCGUAGGUGGUUCGUUAAGUUGAAUGUGAAAGCCCCGGGCUCAACCUGAACUGCAUCCAAAACUGGCGAGCUAGAGUAGGGCAGAGGGUGGUGGAAUUUCCUGUGUAGCGGUGAAAUGCGUAGAUAUAGGAAGGAACACCAGUGGCGAAGGCGACCACCUGGGCUCAUACUGACACUGAGGUGCGAAAGCGUGGGGAGCAAACAGG
This 427-nucleotide ribosomal RNA is filed under the name Pseudomonadota bacterium. RNAcentral's name for it is "Proteobacteria bacterium partial 16S ribosomal RNA". It matches the Rfam family "Bacterial small subunit ribosomal RNA", at positions 355 to 776 of the family's 1533-position model. The record is from RNAcentral. Lineage: Bacteria; Pseudomonadati; Pseudomonadota.